GACGAACGCUGGCGGCGUGCUUAACACAUGCAAGUCGAACGAAGAGCGAUGGAAGCUUGCUUCUAUCAAUCUUAGUGGCGAACGGGUGAGUAACGCGUAAUCAACCUGCCCUUCAGAGGGGGACAACAGUUGGAAACGACUGCUAAUACCGCAUACGAUCUAAUCUCGGCAUCGAGGAUAGAUGAAAGGUGGCCUCUAUUUAUAAGCUAUCACUGAAGGAGGGGAUUGCGUCUGAUUAGCUAGUUGGAGGGGUAACGGCCCACCAAGGCGAUGAUCAGUAGCCGGUCUGAGAGGAUGAACGGCCACAUUGGGACUGAGACACGGCCCAGACUCCUACGGGAGGCAGCAGUGGGGAAUCUUCCGCAAUGGACGAAAGUCUGACGGAGCAACGCCGCGUGAGUGAUGACGGCCCUUUCGGGGUUGUAAAAGCUCUGUUAAAUCGGGACG
RNAcentral lists this ribosomal RNA (447 nucleotides) under Veillonella dispar. RNAcentral describes it as "bacterial SSU rRNA". It matches the Rfam family "Bacterial small subunit ribosomal RNA", at positions 28 to 447 of the family's 1533-position model. The record is from RNAcentral. Lineage: Bacteria; Bacillati; Bacillota; Negativicutes; Veillonellales; Veillonellaceae.